This 253-nucleotide ribosomal RNA is filed under the name uncultured bacterium. RNAcentral's name for it is "partial 16S ribosomal RNA". It matches the Rfam family "Bacterial small subunit ribosomal RNA", at positions 524 to 776 of the family's 1533-position model. The record is from RNAcentral.
UACGAGUGCCUCAAGCGUUAUCCGGAAUUAUUGGGCGUAAAGGGCUCGUAGGCGGUCUGUCGCGUCGGGAGUGAAAACUCAGGGCUUAACCCUGAGCCUGCUUCCGAUACGGGCAGACUAGAGGUAUGCAGGGGAGAACGGAAUUCCUGGUGUAGCGGUGGAAUGCGCAGAUAUCAGGAGGAACACCGGUGGCGAAGGCGGUUCUCUGGGCAUUACCUGACGCUGAGGAGCGAAAGUGUGGGGAGCGAACAGG